Molecule: transfer RNA, 74 nt
Filed under: marine sediment metagenome
Description: tRNA-Pro
Rfam family: tRNA
About the family: Transfer RNA (tRNA) molecules are approximately 80 nucleotides in length.
Source: RNAcentral
CUGAGUGUGGCGUAGCUUGGCAACGCGCCUGGUUUGGGACCAGGAGACCGGAGGUUCGAAUCCUUCCACUCAGA